ACCAGGCCUGAUCAAGGCUGAAGCCAGGAACCAGAAGAGAUUGAGGAUAAUAGCCAAGACUCUCCAGCAGAAGCAUCAGGUGAAGGAAGGCUGAAAUUUGUACUCUACAAGUAGGAUAAAAUAAUUCAUCAGACAUCUGAA
RNAcentral lists this long non-coding RNA (141 nucleotides) under Oryctolagus cuniculus (rabbit). Its description in RNAcentral is "lncRNA (ENSOCUG00000034993.1)". Lineage: Eukaryota; Metazoa; Chordata; Mammalia; Lagomorpha; Leporidae. The record is from RNAcentral.